CCUCCUUCCUUCUUCUGCAUUUCGCCGCUCUUUUUCUCUCCACCUUCAUUCUUCUUACUCUUCUUCUACAUAUUAAAACCGAAAUAUAUACAACAUCAAUCACAUACGGAAGAAAAACAAUAAAAAAAGAGAAUAAUUAAGGAAAAUGCAAAUUGAAACUGUUAUUGCAAUUCUUACCUCGCCCAUUAUGAUUUUUUAGAACUUUCUAGAGAAUGAAAUAUGGAAACAGAAUGGAAACUGAAGGGCGGAGUGAAUUUAUAAUGAGGGGAAAGAGUGGAAGAAGGGUAGUUGUGUGUGCGCGAGAGAAGUGGAGAGUGGACCGUGUGGUACAGUGAUCUGUCAUGGGAAUAUGUG
This 354-nucleotide long non-coding RNA is filed under the name Nicotiana benthamiana. RNAcentral's name for it is "long non-coding RNA (NBEN_LNC018819)". The record is from RNAcentral. Lineage: Eukaryota; Viridiplantae; Streptophyta; Magnoliopsida; Solanales; Solanaceae.